AUUGAACGCUGGCGGCAGGCCUAACACAUGCAAGUCGAACGAGUGGCGGACGGGUGAGUAAUGUCUGGGGAUCUGCCUGAUAGAGGGGGAUAACUACUGGAAACGGUGGCUAAUACCGCAUACCAUCAGAUGUGCCCAUAUGGGAUUAGCUUGUUGGUGGGGUAACGGCUCACCAAGGCGACGAUCCCUAGCUGGUCUGAGAGGAUGACCAGCCACACUGGAACUGAGACACGGCCCAGACUCCUACGGGAGGCAGCAGUGGGGAAUAUUGCACAAUGGGCGCAAGCCUGAUGCAGCCAUGCCGCGUGUAUGAAGAAGGCCUUAGGGUUGUAAAGUACUUUCAGCGGGGAGGCGUUACCCGCAGAAGAAGCACCGGCUAACUCCGUGCCAGCAGCCGCGGUAAUUC
This 406-nucleotide ribosomal RNA is filed under the name uncultured bacterium. Its description in RNAcentral is "partial 16S ribosomal RNA". It matches the Rfam family "Bacterial small subunit ribosomal RNA", at positions 30 to 526 of the family's 1533-position model. The record is from RNAcentral.